UACGGGAGGCAGCAGUGGGGAAUAUUGCACAAUGGGCGAAAGCCUGAUGCAGCUAUGCCGCGUGUAUGAAGAAGGCCUUAGGGUUGUAAAGUACUUUCAUCGGGGAGGAAAAAACAAAACUAAUAAUUUUAUUUCUUGACGUUACCCGAAAAAGAAGCACCGGCUAACUCCGUGCCAGCAGCCGCGGUAAUACGGAGGGUGCUAGCGUUAAUCAGAAUUACUGGGCGUAAAGAGCACGUAGGUGGUUUUUUUAAGUCAGAUGUGAAAUCCCCUGGGCUUAACCUAGGAACUGCAUUUUGAAACUGAAAUACUAGAGUAUCGUAGAGGGAGGUAGAAUUCUAGGUGUAGCGGUGAAAUGCGUAGAUAUCUGGAGGAAUACCUGUGGCGAAAGCGGCCUCCUAAACGAAUACUGACACUGAGGUGCGAAAGCGUGGGGAGCAAACAGGGAUUAGAUAC
Molecule: ribosomal RNA, 456 nt
Filed under: uncultured bacterium
Lineage: Bacteria
Description: bacterial SSU rRNA
Rfam family: Bacterial small subunit ribosomal RNA
Source: RNAcentral